GAUGAACGCUGGCGGCGUGCCUAAUACAUGCAAGUCGAGCGAACUGAUUAGAAGCUUGCUUCUAUGACGUUAGCGGCGGACGGGUGAGUAACACGUGGGCAACCUGCCUGUAAGACUGGGAUAACUUCGGGAAACCGAAGCUAAUACCGGAUAGGAUCUUCUCCCUCAUGGGAGAUGAUUGAAAGAUGGUUUCGGCUAUCACUUACAGAUGGGCCCGCGGUGCAUUAGCUAGUUGGUGAGGUAACGGCUCACCAAGGCAACGAUGCCAUAGCCGACCUGAGAGGGUGAUCGGCCACACUGGGACUGANACACGGCCCAAAC
This 321-nucleotide ribosomal RNA is filed under the name uncultured soil bacterium. Its description in RNAcentral is "bacterial SSU rRNA". It matches the Rfam family "Bacterial small subunit ribosomal RNA", at positions 28 to 336 of the family's 1533-position model. The record is from RNAcentral.